RNAcentral lists this transfer RNA (73 nucleotides) under Anaerosacchariphilus polymeriproducens. It matches the Rfam family "tRNA". From Rfam's summary of the family: Transfer RNA (tRNA) molecules are approximately 80 nucleotides in length. Their secondary structure includes four short double-helical elements and three loops (D, anti-codon, and T loops). The record is from Rfam by way of RNAcentral. Lineage: Bacteria; Bacillati; Bacillota; Clostridia; Lachnospirales; Lachnospiraceae.
GCUGAUAUGGCACAGUUGGUAGCGCGUCGCAUUGGUAGUGCGGAGGUCACGGGUUCGACUCCCGUUAUCAGCU